Phasianus colchicus (ring-necked pheasant) is the source of this 654-nucleotide long non-coding RNA. RefSeq lists it as uncharacterized. NCBI's taxonomy places the organism in Eukaryota, Metazoa, Chordata, Aves, Galliformes, Phasianidae. The record is from RefSeq and is a predicted model, not a curated record.
ACAAGCUACCUCAAUGCCUUCUGUUCUGAGACCUAUAAAAAAGGGAAGCCUGCAAACAGAAAGAACUCUAGUCAUUGACUCAUGAAAUGGUCCUAUGGAAAUUAAGAAAAUAGCAGUCCCAAAUUAUUUUACACCACUUUGCCUGAGAGGGUAAUCUCUAUACCCCACAGAAUUUUUCAGCCAGGAUCACGAAUUCUGGAAGCAUUUCAGGAUAAAUAUAACAAAGUAGAACUCAGUCCCAGGGAUACUUGAUCUCACUCUUCCAUCCAUCAUGAACGGUAAAGCAUUUGGCAAUUAGCAGCUGAGAUGAAGUAUUUAGUUGCUACUGCCCAAGUGAGAAAAACUGUGUUUUGUCUGUUUUGAGAACAGCCUUCCACCUAAAUAGGAGCUUGUAACAGAAGUGGAACUAAUGAGCACUAUACGUGUCACUACCGGCAUGUGGAGAAACACAAAGAAGCUAAAAAGUUCUUCACUGGAAACUAAAAUUGUCUGUUCUUCCAUCUCUGCUCCUAAAUAGAUAGUAAAUGACUGAGCAGAAAAAUGUUAGUGCACUGAAUAGCAGGACAAGACAGCUUAUGACUCCUGAAGAGCUGUCAGUUUUUGUACUGCUUAGCAAAGAGAGAAUUAUUUCAGCUAUAACUCAAUAAAAAGUUU